CAGCAGGGGGAAACGGGCAAAUCGGGUAACAGUGUGCCAGCGCGCCUGCGCCUUGGUUUCCUGCCCGAAGUUCGGGUGGCGUUGCGGCUGCUCUUCUAGUGCCCUGAAUAGUUGACAAAAAGCCAAAGAGAUGGAAGGAAAUACAGAUUCUGGGCAUGAGGCAUGAAGUCAGGGGAGAGGAGGCAAACAAACAGCUAACGUCUGCUACAGGAAUCAAGAAAAGCAAAGUAAAAGGAAAAAAUUAAAUACCCUCUUACUAAUGAAGAUCUGAUGGAAUUGGAGGCCCAGAGAAAAGACAAAUAGAGACAAGAGGAAGAAGAAGUAAACAAAGAACCAAAGAGAUUCAUGACACAGGAAAUGGCAAAGGGGUUUUUCUUAUCUGAGGAGGUUCUGUUAGUUUUUGAGGCAUAGGACCCGAAUGUAGAACAGUACACGAAGGUUGCAGCAGCCAUUCAGAAUGCAACCCAGUGCUACUGUGUCAUCUAUGAUAAGAAAAAAAGAGCUACUACCCAGAUAUCAUUGAAUCGUUUUUUCAAGAGGGAGAGAAUUGAAUCCAGCAAGGAACCAGAACCUGUGCCAUCAAUGUCAGGUGUGAGUGAAAUUGCAGCUCGCCCUCCGUCUCCUAUUGCUGACGAUCCUUCAGCUCUACCAUCUCCCACCUCCUCCCCCUCCUCCAGUCAGUAACUCUUCUUGCCUGUUCACUCCAUGCCAGCCCCUGUAUGCCAGCU
This is a long non-coding RNA of Hippopotamus amphibius kiboko, 728 nucleotides long. RefSeq lists it as uncharacterized. The record is from RefSeq and is a predicted model, not a curated record. Lineage: Eukaryota; Metazoa; Chordata; Mammalia; Artiodactyla; Hippopotamidae. The transcript is spliced from 3 exons.